This is a long non-coding RNA of Zingiber officinale, 149 nucleotides long. RefSeq lists it as uncharacterized. The transcript has 3 exons. NCBI's taxonomy places the organism in Eukaryota, Viridiplantae, Streptophyta, Magnoliopsida, Zingiberales, Zingiberaceae. The record is from RefSeq and is a predicted model, not a curated record.
CUGGACAUGGACGGAGUGACUUCCAUUGACAGUGAUGGGAUUCGCAUGCUAGUAGAACUCCACAAACAUGUAGAAAGAAGAGGCAUCAAGUCAACUCUUAAUGGUUCAACAUCUAAUCUUGUUGACUCCUCAAGCCAACCCUAUACCAC